RNAcentral lists this transfer RNA (68 nucleotides) under Marmota monax (woodchuck). Its description in RNAcentral is "tRNA.Phe". The record is from RNAcentral. Lineage: Eukaryota; Metazoa; Chordata; Mammalia; Rodentia; Sciuridae.
GGUUUGUGGCUCAGUGGUAGAACACUUGCCUGAAAUGUGUGAGGCACUGGGUUUAAUCCUCAGGACCA